Molecule: long non-coding RNA, 686 nt
Organism: Eurytemora carolleeae
Lineage: Eukaryota; Metazoa; Arthropoda; Copepoda; Calanoida; Temoridae
Exons: 2
Source: RefSeq, a predicted model, not a curated record
GCCAAGCCCGACUUUGAGUCUUUUUUUACGUUCCCUUUUAUUGAUGUUCCUAAAAAGACAAUUUAUCGAUAAAAAGGGACAAUAAAGAAACCUUGAACUUUUUCUUUUUAUGAAUAUGCGAUUCAGGUUUAAGUGCUCUAAAUUUCCUGAAACUAUAUAGGUCUUCAAUUGUUUUCAAAGAUUUGAACAGACUUCAUAUUAUCAAAACAGAAACUCUAAUUAUAGUUUGAACAGUGAUUCCUGGUUAGACUGCAAGAAAUGAACUUCCUUAAAAGAUAAUUUUCGAAAUUAACUUGGAAGUUUUUCGAUUUUGGAUUCUGCUAAUCGAAUUGUGUGUAUGGAUUAAACAUUUGAUGAGUUGAGUGUUAAUAAAUCUUAAAAAAUAUUCAGUUGGGUAGAUUUUCACUAAUGGUUAACUAGUUAAAGUAAUUUAAAGAAGAAUAAAACACCGUUUGACCAUCCAAUCAUUGCGUUAACCUCUAUCUGAGCAGGAUGAUAUAAACAAUAUAUAAAAGAAUAAAAGAAAUGAAUAUUGGAUCCUUGCUUGGUUGUGCUUUAUCAAAUCAACUUAUCCAAUCCUUUUCAUCCGUUUCAUCCUUCCCAUCUCCUUCCUUCCCCUCUACCAAGCUAGGGGUUGGAUAUCAGGAUAUUGAUGAAGAUACAAGGUCUGAUCAGGAAGGGGAAAA